Molecule: long non-coding RNA, 1437 nt
Organism: Raphanus sativus (radish)
Lineage: Eukaryota; Viridiplantae; Streptophyta; Magnoliopsida; Brassicales; Brassicaceae
Exons: 7
Source: RefSeq, a predicted model, not a curated record
UAAAAAUCAGUCUUAACAAAAAAAGAGAAUCACAAAAAAAAAAUCACUCGAACCCUCGGAACUCCCUUCUCCCUUCUCCCUUCUCCCUUCUCCCUUCUCCCUUCUCCCAUCGAAACAAUCCUCUCUGAAUCACCACCACGACCAUCACCACCGUCCUCUCUCAUCCGCCAGCCAUCUCCACCUUCUCUCUGUCUACCUCGUCUCUUCCUUGUCACCACGGUUCCUCUCCACCGUCUCCUCAUGUCGUAAUCUCUCUUUCUCUCUUUUUUUCCUCUGGUCAAGUCUAACUUCUUUGAUUUCUCCAUACUGAUCUAUUUUGUGAGUCAAUUUUGGCAUAUUAUGAUGAAAGCUUGUUAGUGGUGGGGUGUUGAUGUUGCCGUAAUCUCCUCCUCGUCACAACCGCUCAUCUCCUCCUCUUCUCCUUCUAUGUUCGUGACAGGCCCACUGUAAUCAAUAAACACGUUUCUUCAAGAAUCUGAUGACCAGAUUCAAGGUUAUUCUAAAGGCUAGGAGACUUUGUUUGGUUGAUAACACGAGUUUCUUCGGAGAUGCAGCAAGUUGGUUUCAGGAGACUGCUAAAGGUAGGAAGGAAACGAAGGCUAGAUAGAUAUAGUAAAGAAAACCAACAGGCAUCCAUUCUUGGAGCCAAGACCAAUGGCUAAAAAGUCACUGAAUCGUCUUCUGUAGAACUUUUGGAAAAGUUUGGUAGGAGUACAGAAUUGUUGAAGCUAGAAGAUUUGAUUGAACAACUUAAUGCUAGAACUGUAGCCGUUUCACCAUUCUCGUAUGAUGUUAAGAGGGAAGACGUGGAAGCCUUCUUCAGUCAGUAUGGAAAGUGUGAGGGUGUUUUGUGGUGUUGCCUUGGUUGAGUUCCCUACUGGAGAGAAUGCCCAAAAUUUUAUGAAGCAAAGUUUGGUCUUUGCUGGUCUCGAGUUUUUAAGUUGAUCAGUCUUCUGAAAAAGCAUGGUGUCUCUGAAAGCAAGGUUUAUGCGUAUAUAGGUGGGAAGAGCGUUGGAUGAUGGUUCUAGUAAUCACUCUUUUCCCUUCUAAAGUAAUGCGCCCAGGCCGCUUGUACCUCCUGGUUUUGCUAGCACAAUUUCGGAAAGAGCAAGGGGCAAAACCUCAAUGAGGAGACAGAACCUAACUUCGACUUCCAUUGAGUUCUACCUUGUCCAAUGGAGUACAUGGCUGUGGGCGUCAAGGAGAGGUAGCAGAAGCGGUGUGUGCCUCGAAGACAGCCACCUCGGAGUUCUGUGAGGAAGAAGAAGAUCAGUGAAAUCCAGAGAGGAGGAGGCUUGAAGAUUGAAGAUUGAUCCUUAGGUUUAGUUUUUUUUCUAGGUUUACUUUAUUUUCUAAUUCUGAUUUGUUUUUGUAAACCAGAAUUUACUUGUAAACAAGAAAUAGAUUAAUAAAUAAAAUUUAAUUUUUAAUUAUAAA